UACGUAGGGAGCAAGCGUUGUCCGGAAUCAUUGGGCGUAAAGCGCGCGUAGGUGGCCCCGUAAGUCCGCUGUGAAAGUCAAAGGCUCAACCUUUGAAAGCCGGUGGAUACUGCGAGGCUAGAGUGCGGAAGAGGCGAGUGGAAUUCCUGGUGUAGCGGUGAAAUGCGCAGAUAUCAGGAGGAACACCAAUUGCGAAGGCAGCUCGCUGGGACGUUACUGACGCUGGAGACGCGAAAGCGUGGGGAGCAAACAGG
Molecule: ribosomal RNA, 254 nt
Filed under: uncultured bacterium
Lineage: Bacteria
Description: partial 16S ribosomal RNA
Rfam family: Bacterial small subunit ribosomal RNA
Source: RNAcentral